RNAcentral lists this long non-coding RNA (5005 nucleotides) under Linum usitatissimum (flax). RNAcentral's name for it is "long non-coding RNA (LUSI_LNC004022)". The record is from RNAcentral. Lineage: Eukaryota; Viridiplantae; Streptophyta; Magnoliopsida; Malpighiales; Linaceae.
AUUAGGAAAAGGGAGCUUUUCAGCUCACUUGUUUUCCCACCAUUCCAACGCGCACCGUAUCACUAAACUACUGCAAGAAGGAGAAACGCUCAUUGCGCAACACGGCGUCGUCGCAACCAAACGGAUAAUGAUGAAUGAUCUUCCCUCUCUCACCCAGCAAGCUGGCAGCUCACUCUCUGCAGCUUCUGGCAAUACCGUUGCACAAUUCUCAGACCUGCAACAUUUCCAAACAAAUUGAUUCGAUGUAUUUUGUCAUUUUGUUUUCUAUCCAUUGUAUAAAACUCGAGCUCAAAUCAAUGAAUGAAUUGCGGAAUAAAAUUCCUUUAAUCUCAAUCCAUAAUAUGGUACCAGAGCCUUGAGCUCGACAACAAUGGCAGACCAAAUCGUCGUCAAUGGCGACUAUCCUUUAUCAGACCCAUACUACCUCCAUGGUAGCGAGCAACCAGGACAGUCACUGGUCACUGAGAAGCUAACCUCGUCCAACUACACAGACUGGAGCAUAUCCAUGAAGAAUGCACUAAGUGCAAAGAAUAAAAUGGGGUUCAUCACUAGAGAAAUUGAAGAACCUGAAGCCAACAAUGCAAUGUUCUGGACAUGGACCAGAUGCAACAUCAUGGUUUUGAGCUGGAUUCAACAAUCAGUCGAAGUAGGUAUUCGAAAGACUAUACUUGGUUUUAAAAAUGCAGUAGAAGCAUGGGAAAGUUUAAAGAGUAGAUAUGGCCAGGGAGAUGUUAUACGCAUAGCUGAGAUUCAGGAAGAACUUUCCAAUCUCAAGCAAGGAAAUCAGUCCAUAACUGAGUAUCAUGGCUCCAUAAUCACACUUAGAGAUGAAUUAAGGAAUUACCAACCUCUUGUAUCCUGUGAUUGCACUGCUGUGAGCCACUUGGAUUGCAGGGCCAUCAAACUGAUAGAAGAAUAUGAAGAAACAAAUGCAGUAAUACAUUUCUUGCGUGGAUUGAAUAAAAACUUUGUUGGACCAAGGACUCAAGUUCUCUUUGGAGACAGGUUACCUAGUUUGGAAAGGGUUGUUCAACGCAUGGUGCAGCAUGAACGUCAGCUGUUUGGUACACAAGGAAAAGGGAGUUCAGAAGGGUUAGCAAUGGCUGCCCAAAGACAAGACACAAGGCCUAAGCUCUAUUGCACCUUUUGCAAAAUGACCAACCACACUGAGGAUAGAUGCUUCUUCAAAAAUGGCUUCCCACCAGGAAUGGAACCAAGACCUCAGCCUGGCUCUUCAAACUUUAAACCAAGAAACUCAAAUUCAAAAUUCAGGCCUCGAGCCAAUGCAAUUCGAAGCGCUGAAGGCGCUGGUGUGCAUAUGACACAGGAUCAGUUCAACAAACUGAUGAGCAUGAUGCAACUCAAGAACAAGGGAGCAGAUGACUCUGUGACAUCCACAGGUGCUCAUUCUGUAGUUGCUUUCACUCAACACCCCUCAGGCAAGUCUACUGAGAUUUUAAGUAUGCAGACCCUAGAGUCAAAGGACCAUGAAAGAUGGAUCCUUGACACAGGAGCAUCUGAUCAUGUCACAUGCAUAUUAAGCAAUUUCAGUACCUUUAAUGAGGUUGAAAACGUGAUUAUCAACCUACCAACUGGCCAUCAGGUUCAUGCUACUCACAUUGGUUCAGUGAAAAUCUCACCUCAGCUUACAUUGCAUGACGUUUUAUAUGUGCCAGAUUUCAAUUUCAACUUGAUCUCAGUUAGUAAGCUUGCUGAGAAUCAAGCCUUAUGCCUCACCUUUGCUUCUGAUUCUUGUUUGAUACAAGACAAGCACAGGAAGACUACGAUUGGUUCUGCUAAGGUGCAUCAAGGACUCUAUCACAUGUCUCCUGCCAUCCUAGUUAGUCAAGCUACCUCUACUACUUCCCCUGCUAAUGUUUUUGAUUUGUGGCAUCAUCGCUUAGGCCAUGUCUCACAUACUAGGAUACCCUACCUGCAUACCCUUGAUCCAGCCAUCCACACUCUUCCUAACCUGCCCUGUGAUGUCUGUCACUAUGCCAAGCAGCAUAGAUUAGCCUUCCCCCCUAGCUCCUCUACUACAUCACAGCCUUUUGAUAUGUUACAUGUUGACAUAUGGGGGCCAACGGCACAACCCUCUUAUGAUGGCCAUCGCUAUUUUCUCACUAUUGUAGACGAUUACAGUCGAAAUACUUGGAUUCAGCUAAUGAAGUUAAAGUCAGAAACUCAUCCUCUUUUGCAGCACUUUUGCAUUUUUGUUAAUACUCACUAUAAAGCCCAUGUUAGAACCAUCCGUAGUGAUCAAGGCAAAGAGUUUGACAUGCCUGCCUUUUAUCAUGAAAAGGGAGUUCUCCAUCAAACCACUUGUGUUGAAACCCCCCAGCAAAAUAGCAAAGUCGAACGCAAACACUAGCACAUUCUCAAUGUUGCUAGAGCACUCACUUUCCAAGCAAAACUUCCUAUAGGAUUUUGGGGAGAUUGUGUCAAACAUGUUGUAUACCUGAUUAAUCGCACACCUACUGCCGUCCUUAACAACAAAACGCCCUAUGAAAAACUAAACAACAAACCCCCUUCCUUAGCCAACAUUCGUGUCUUUGGGAGCCUCUGCUAUGCAUCUACCCUGGCUGGUCAUAGGACUAAGUUUGAAAAGCGAGCUAGAAAAAGCCUGCAUCUAGGAUUCACAGAAGGGAUCAAAGGAUACAGGCUAUAUAAUUUGCAUACACAUCGGGUUUUCACUUCAAGGGAUGUGAUUUUCUAUGAAAGCGUUUUUCCCUAUGACAAACAAAUCGAUACUACACCAGACCAGUCCACACAAGCCUUACCAUCAGUCACAGACUUUGAUUUUGACUUCAUACCAAACCAAAGUAACCCUGAAACACCUACACAGCAAGGCGAUGUUGCUCCCAGCACACCACUAGACCAAGAUCAACCAGAAACAUCAGACCAAAGCCAAUCCACCAACCAUGAUGACUCAAACCAAGAUAUUGAGCAAAAUCCACCUCCAUAACAGGUUGAAACCCUUAGGAGAACCACCAGACACCACAAGCCACCAAACUACCUGCAGGAUUUCCAUUGUGACCUCCUAAUGCAGAGCAACAGAACCAAUCAAGUCUCCACUGCAAGUCCUGAGAUUGCAAAGAAUUCAGUAAGUCACCCUCUCUCACGCAUACUUGAUUAUGGCUUGCUCCACGACACUCAUAAGAAGUUUGUUCUAAGUAUUUCCAGCAUAAAAGAACCACAGAGUUAUGCUGAGGCAAUGAAACUGGGAGUCUGGAUAGCAGCGAUGAAGGCUGAACUUGAAGCCCUAUGCCUAAAUAAAAUAUGGAGCAUUGUAUCCCUACCAAAGGGAGUAAAGGCCAUAGCAUGCAAGUGGGUGUACAGAGUGAAGUAUAAAUCUGAUGGCAGCAUUGAAAGGUACAAAGCAAGACUAGUAGCAAAGGGGUAUACACAAACUGAAUGUCUUGAUUACCAAGAGACAUUUGCGCUAGUGGUAAAGAUGACAACCAUAAGGGUCUUCCUUGCCUUGGCUUCGAUUAAGAAAUGGCAUCUCCACCAGCUAGAUAUCAACAACGCCUUCUUGCACGGAGAUUUGGAAGAAGACGUGUACAUGAAGUUGCCCUUGGGAAUGGACGAGGAAGGACUACCAAAAAAUGCAGUCUGUAAACUACACAAGUCACUUUACGGCCUGAAGCAAGCUUCGAGGCAAUGGUUUUCCAAGCUAUCAGAGAAACUGUACAUUCAAGGUUAUACUCAAAGCAAGGUGGAUUACUCCUUAUUCAUCAAACAUAAAAACGGAUCAUUCACAGCGGUUCUAGUUUAUGUGGACAAUCUAAUCAUUGGAGGCAAUGAUCUCACGGAGAUCACAGCAUUGAAAAUGUGUCUUCAUGAAGAAUUUAAAAUCAAGGACUUGGGUCACUUGAAGUUCUUUUUAGGCCUGGAAGUUGGAAGGAAUCCAGAAGGGAUACACUUGUCUCAACGAAAGUACACAUUGGAGAUUUUAGAAGAAGCUGGACUGCUUAAUGCCAAACCAGCAAACACACCAAUGAAUUACAAGCAGCAUCUCAGUGCUGAUGGUUCAAGUUCUUAUGCAGAUCCUGAGCAAUAUAGAAGAAUAGUUGGAAAGUUGAUCUACCUCACUACCACUAGAGCAGAUAUCUGCUUUUCAGCUCAACAAGUCAGCCAAUUCAUGGCGAAUCCCACAGAAGAUCAUUACAAAGCAGUAACAAGGAUUCUUAGAUAUCUAAAAGGAGCCCCUGCAUCUGGUCUCUUUUUUCCUAGCACCUCCAGCAUCCAAUUGAAAGCUUUCAGCGAUUCAGAUUGGGCAGCUUGUCCAGACAGCAGGCGCUCAAUCACAGGGUAUUCCGUUUUCCUUGGAACUUCACUUGUAUCAUGGAAAAGCAAGAAACAAAGCACAGUGUCAAGAUCUUCCUGUGAAGUAGAAUAUCGAGCUUUAGCUCACACUAGCUGCGAGUUGCAAUGGCUGUUGUACCUCCUCAAGGAUCUCCAGGUUGACCACCACAUGCCAGCUCUGAUCUACUGUGACAACCAAUCAGCCAUCCACAUUGCAACCAAUCCUAGCUUCCAUGAACGAACCAAACACAUAGAGUUGGACUGCCACCUGGUUCGUGAGAAGAUCCAAGCUAACAUCAUCAAGCUACUCCAUGUGCGCACGGACUCACAGGUAGCAGACAUUUUCACCAAGGCCUUGCGUCCUGUCCCUUUCCAUUUUCUUCUUUCCAAGCUUGGCCUGCACAACCUCUGCCCUCCAGCUUGCGGGUGGGUAUUAGGAAAAGGGAGCUUUUCAGCUCACUUGUUUUCCCGCCAUUCCAACGCGCACCGUAUCACUAAACUACUGCAAGAAGGAGAAACGCUCAUUGCGCAACACGGCGUCGUCGCAACCAAACGGAUAAUGAUGAAUGAUCUUCCCUCUCUCACCCAGCAAGCUGGCAGCUCACUCUCUGCAGCUUCUGGCAAUACCGUUGCACAAUUCUCAGACCUGCAACAUUUCCAGACAAAUUGAUUCGAUGUAUUUUGUCAUUUUGUUUUC